AGCGUGCGCAGGCGGUAAUGUAAGACAGAUGUGAAAUACCCCGGGCCUCAACCUGGGAACUGCAUUUGUGACUGCAUUGCUGGAGUGCGGCAGAGGGGGAUGGAAUUCCGCGUGUAGCAGUGAAAUGCGUAGAUAUGCGGAGGAACACCGAUGGCGAAGGCAAUCCCCUGGGCCUGCACUGACGCUCAUGCACGAAAGCGUGGGGAGCAAACAGGAUUAGAUACCCCAGU
This 230-nucleotide ribosomal RNA is filed under the name uncultured bacterium. Its description in RNAcentral is "partial 16S ribosomal RNA". It matches the Rfam family "Bacterial small subunit ribosomal RNA", at positions 564 to 791 of the family's 1533-position model. The record is from RNAcentral.